This 347-nucleotide ribosomal RNA is filed under the name uncultured bacterium. RNAcentral describes it as "partial 16S ribosomal RNA". It matches the Rfam family "Bacterial small subunit ribosomal RNA", at positions 338 to 696 of the family's 1533-position model. The record is from RNAcentral.
CCUACGGGUGGCAGCAGUCGAGAAUCAUUCACAAUGGGGGAAACCCUGAUGCUGCGACGCCGCGUGGGGGAAUGCAGGUCUUCGGAUUGUAAACCCCUUUCAUGUGGGAGCAAAUCAAAAAGAUAGUACCACAAGAGGAAGAGACUGCUAAAUCUGUGCCAGCAGCCGCGGUAAUACAGAGGUCUCAAGCGUUGUUCGGAAUCACUGGGCGUAAAGGGUGCGUAGGCGGGUUCGUAAGUCGUGUGUGAAAGGCGCGGGCUAAACCCGCGGACGGCACUUGAGACUGUGAGACUCGAGUACUGGAGGGGUAACCGGAAUUCGCGGUGUAGCGGUGAAAUGCGUAGAUA